RNAcentral lists this ribosomal RNA (260 nucleotides) under uncultured bacterium. Its description in RNAcentral is "partial 16S ribosomal RNA". It matches the Rfam family "Bacterial small subunit ribosomal RNA", at positions 524 to 781 of the family's 1533-position model. The record is from RNAcentral.
UACAGAGGUCUCAAGCGUUGUUCGGAUUCAUUGGGCGUAAAGGGUGCGUAGGUGGCGCUGUAAGUCGGACGUGAAAUCCCUCAGCUUAACUGGGGAACUGCGUCCGAUACUGGAUGGCUUGGAUUUGGGAGAGGGAUGCGGAAUUCCAGGUGUAGCGGUGAAAUGCGCAGAUAUCUGGAGGAACACCGGUGGCGAAGGCGGCAUCCUGGACCAACACUGACACUGAGGAGCGAAAGCCAGGGGAGCAAACGGGGAGUUAG